This 162-nucleotide ribosomal RNA is filed under the name uncultured bacterium. Its description in RNAcentral is "partial 16S rRNA". It matches the Rfam family "Bacterial small subunit ribosomal RNA", at positions 358 to 511 of the family's 1533-position model. The record is from RNAcentral.
GGAAUCUUCGGCAAUGGGGGCAACCCUGACCGAGCAACGCCGCGUGAGUGAAGAAGGUUUUCGGAUCGUAAAGCUCUGUUGUAAGAGAAGAACGUGUGUGAGAGUGGAAAGUUCACACAGUGACGGUAACUUACCAGAAAGGGACGGCUAACUACGUGCUAG